CCAAAACAAACACGUAUACAAAAACACAGGGAUGUAACCCAAACAAAAGAGCAAGGUUAAACUUCUAAUAAAUACACGGGACUAGACCCGUAAAACAAUGUACGGGACGAGACCGUAAUAACAAUUGCACAAUACUACACAGGACGAGACCCGUAAUAGCAAGUACACAAUACACACAGCACGAAAGCCGAAACAACAAAGCACAGGUACUCACAAGACCAACGGACAUUGGAACAUUAACUGAACACACAAUGGCGAACAGAGGGCACAUAUAUACAAUUACUAAUCAGGGGGAAAUAGGAACCAGGUGUGCGUAAUUAGACAAGACAGUCCGGGUUUGGUGGUAAUGAACCAGUUCAGUGACACCUGGAAGCCGGUGACGUAGAACUCGGGAACUGGUGCACGGAAUGAGCAGCAGUACCGGAGGGAUCGGUGACAGUACCCCCCACCCCCUGACGCACUGCACUAGCAGCGGGACGACACUGGCCUGAGGGACAACCACAGGGAUGAGGUGCGGGUCGGUCAGGGCAGGCAGAGGUUCCGGGUGGAGAGCCAGUUGUAGCUUCAGAGGUAGCGUUGUCAGAUGAGAUAGUUGCAGCUGCAGAAGUCGCGUCGUCGUUGGACGGGCCAGUUGCAGCUGCCGAAGUUGCGGCAGCGUCGGACUGGCCAGUUACAGCUGCCGGACUGCCAGUUGCCGAAAGUUGCGGCUGCGUCGGACUGGCCAGUUGUCGUGGUUGCGGCUGCGUCGGACUGGACGGUUGCCGAGGUUGCGUCGGACUGGACGGUUGCAGCUGCCGAAGUUGCUGCAGCGGCGAACGGGCCAUACCCGCUGUCUCCAUUUAGGAACCACAAUCAUUUUCAGACACAAUUCAUGUCCGUUCUCACUGGAUGAGAACCAAGGGUGGUCAGAUGUGUGUAUGAAUGUGGACAUCUCCUUCCGUUAAACUCCCCUGAACCUGGACAUCCGCCUCAUCCUUGUUCUUAAGGCCGGUGGCGGGUUGCUUCCGGCCUUAAACCAGCACCUAAGAUCUAUCCACCUGUUUGCCUAUCCACCAUAUGGAGUUUGGAUGGACAGCUACAUGACCAAAGGCAGUGGGAUGUCUCAGAAAAAUAACCCUUCCUGCACAUGUAGCAGUGGCUAAAAAUAACCCAGUG
This 1155-nucleotide long non-coding RNA is filed under the name Salmo salar (Atlantic salmon). RNAcentral describes it as "lncRNA (ENSSSAG00000117269.1)". Lineage: Eukaryota; Metazoa; Chordata; Actinopteri; Salmoniformes; Salmonidae. The record is from RNAcentral.